This 253-nucleotide ribosomal RNA is filed under the name uncultured bacterium. Its description in RNAcentral is "partial 16S ribosomal RNA". It matches the Rfam family "Bacterial small subunit ribosomal RNA", at positions 524 to 776 of the family's 1533-position model. The record is from RNAcentral.
UACGUAGGGUGCAAGCGUUGUCCGGAAUUAUUGGGCGUAAAGAGCUCGUAGGCGGUCUGUCGCGUCGGCUGUGAAAACCUGGGGCUCAACCCCGGGCCUGCAGCCGAUACGGGCAGACUAGAAUUCGGUAGGGGAGACUGGAAUUCCUGGUGUAGCGGUGAAAUGCGCAGAUAUCAGGAGGAACACCGGUGGCGAAGGCGGCCAUCUGGCUCGGUACUGACGCUCAGGCGCGAAAGCGUGGGGAGCAAACAGG